Molecule: ribosomal RNA, 2934 nt
Filed under: Priestia megaterium
Lineage: Bacteria; Bacillati; Bacillota; Bacilli; Caryophanales; Bacillaceae
Description: 23S ribosomal RNA
Rfam family: Bacterial large subunit ribosomal RNA
Source: RNAcentral
GGUUAAGUUAGAAAGGGCGCACGGUGAAUGCCUUGGCACUAGGAGCCGAUGAAGGACGGACUAACACCGAUAUGCUUCGGGGAGCUGUAAGUGAGCUUUGAUCCGGAGAUUUCCGAAUGGGGAAACCCACUGUUCGUAAUGGAACAGUAUCUUUAUCUGAAUACAUAGGAUAUUGAAGGCAGACCCGGGGAACUGAAACAUCUAAGUACCCGGAGGAAGAGAAAGCAAAUGCGAUUUCCUGAGUAGCGGCGAGCGAAACGGAAUUAGCCCAAACCAAGAGGCUUGCCUCUUGGGGUUGUAGGACACUCUAUACGGAGUUACAAAGGAACGAAGUAAAUGAAGCGACCUGGAAAGGUCCGUCGAAGAAGGUAACAACCCUGUAGUUGAAACUUCGUUCCCUCUUGAGUGGAUCCUGAGUACGGCGGAACACGUGAAAUUCCGUCGGAAGCUGGGAGGACCAUCUCCCAAGGCUAAAUACUACCUAGUGACCGAUAGUGAACCAGUACCGUGAGGGAAAGGUGAAAAGCACCCCGGAAGGGGAGUGAAAGAGAUCCUGAAACCGUGUGCCUACAAGUAGUCAGAGCCCGUUAACGGGUGAUGGCGUGCCUUUUGUAGAAUGAACCGGCGAGUUACGAUCCCAUGCAAGGUUAAGCUGAUAAGGCGGAGCCGUAGCGAAAGCGAGUCUGAAUAGGGCGUUUAGUAUGUGGUUGUAGACCCGAAACCAGGUGAUCUACCCAUGUCCAGGGUGAAGUUCAGGUAACACUGAAUGGAGGCCCGAACCCACGCACGUUGAAAAGUGCGGGGAUGAGGUGUGGGUAGCGGAGAAAUUCCAAUCGAACCUGGAGAUAGCUGGUUCUCUCCGAAAUAGCUUUAGGGCUAGCCUCAUGUUGUGAGAGUCUUGGAGGUAGAGCACUGAUUGGACUAGGGGCCCCCAACGGGUUACCGAAUUCAGUCAAACUCCGAAUGCCAAAGACUUAUCCAUGGGAGUCAGACUGCGAGUGAUAAGAUCCGUAGUCAAAAGGGAAACAGCCCAGACCACCAGCUAAGGUCCCCAAGUAUACGUUAAGUGGAAAAGGAUGUGGAGUUGCUUAGACAACCAGGAUGUUGGCUUAGAAGCAGCCACCAUUUAAAGAGUGCGUAAUAGCUCACUGGUCGAGUGACUCUGCGCCGAAAAUGUACCGGGGCUAAACGUAUCACCGAAGCUGUGGAUUGACAUCUAAGAUGUCAGUGGUAGGAGAGCGUUCUAAGUGCUGUGAAGUCAGACCGUAAGGACUGGUGGAGCGCUUAGAAGUGAGAAUGCCGGUAUGAGUAGCGAAAGACAAGUGAGAAUCUUGUCCACCGAAUGCCUAAGGUUUCCUGAGGAAGGCUCGUCCGCUCAGGGUUAGUCGGGACCUAAGCCGAGGCUGAAAAGCGUAGGCGAUGGCCAACAGGUUGAUAUUCCUGUACCACCUCCCCGCCGUUUGAGUAAUGGGGGGACGCAGUAGGAUAGGGUAAGCGCGCUGCUGGAUAUGCGCGUUCAAGCAGUUAGGCUGAUGAGUAGGCAAAUCCGCUCAUCAUAAAGGCUGAGCUGUGAUGACGAGGGAAUUAUAGUACCGAAGUUCCUGAUUCCACACUGCCAAGAAAAGCCUCUAGCGAGGCGGGAGGUGCCCGUACCGCAAACCGACACAGGUAGGCGAGGAGAGAAUCCUAAGGUGAUCGAGAGAACUCUCGUUAAGGAACUCGGCAAAAUGACCCCGUAACUUCGGGAGAAGGGGUGCUCUGGUAGGGUGUAUAGCCCGAGAGAGCCGCAGUGAAUAGGCCCAGGCGACUGUUUAGCAAAACACAGGUCUCUGCGAAGCCGCAAGGCGAAGUAUAGGGGCUGACGCCUGCCCGGUGCUGGAAGGUUAAGAGGAGGGGUUAUCCUUUGGGAGAAGCUCUGAAUCGAAGCCCCAGUAAACGGCGGCCGUAACUAUAACGGUCCUAAGGUAGCGAAAUUCCUUGUCGGGUAAGUUCCGACCCGCACGAAAGGCGUAACGAUCUGGGCACUGUCUCAACGAGAGACUCGGUGAAAUUAUAGUACCUGUGAAGAUGCAGGUUACCCGCGACAGGACGGAAAGACCCCGUGGAGCUUUACUGUAGCCUGAUAUUGAAUUUUGGUACAGCUUGUACAGGAUAGGUAGGAGCCUGAGAAGCCGGAGCGCUAGCUUCGGUGGAGGCGUCGGUGGGAUACUACCCUGGCUGUAUUGAAAUUCUAACCCGCGGCCCUGAUCGGGCCGGGAGACAGUGUCAGGUGGGCAGUUUGACUGGGGCGGUCGCCUCCUAAAAUGUAACGGAGGCGCCCAAAGGUUCCCUCAGAAUGGUUGGAAAUCAUUCGUAGAGUGUAAAGGCACAAGGGAGCUUGACUGCGAGACCUACAAGUCGAGCAGGGACGAAAGUCGGGCUUAGUGAUCCGGUGGUUCCGUAUGGAAGGGCCAUCGCUCAACGGAUAAAAGCUACCCCGGGGAUAACAGGCUUAUCUCCCCCAAGAGUCCACAUCGACGGGGAGGUUUGGCACCUCGAUGUCGGCUCAUCGCAUCCUGGGGCUGUAGUCGGUCCCAAGGGUUGGGCUGUUCGCCCAUUAAAGCGGUACGCGAGCUGGGUUCAGAACGUCGUGAGACAGUUCGGUCCCUAUCCGUCGUGGGCGUAGGAAAUUUGAGAGGAGCUGUCCUUAGUACGAGAGGACCGGGAUGGACACACCGCUGGUGUACCAGUUGUCUUGCCAAAGGCAUCGCUGGGUAGCUAUGUGUGGACGGGAUAAGUGCUGAAAGCAUCUAAGCAUGAAGCCCCCCUCAAGAUGAGAUUUCCCAUAGCGCAAGCUAGUAAGAUCCCUGAAAGAUGAUCAGGUUGAUAGGUCAGAGGUGGAAGCGUGGCGACAUGUGUAGCUGACUGAUACUAAUCGAUCGAGGACUUAACCAA